Long non-coding RNA from Macadamia integrifolia, 1303 nucleotides. RefSeq lists it as uncharacterized. The transcript has 2 exons. The record is from RefSeq and is a predicted model, not a curated record. Lineage: Eukaryota; Viridiplantae; Streptophyta; Magnoliopsida; Proteales; Proteaceae.
UUGAUAUGGAGAGAGAGGAGGUUGCGGUUCAUCCUACGGUAUGUACUACUCCGUUGGCUGCCUAGGAUGACAUAACAGUGUAGGCAGCUUGGCCCUCUGAGGGUCGAAUGACCAAAGAAGCUCUCUGUGCUAGGGACACUCCCCUGAAUGACCACUCGCCUCCUAUCAUGAAGGAUUUGCCCAAGCAUGUAGACUUCGUGGUGCCUCCGGGGGAGAAAACUUUGCUUCCCAGGGAGACCUCUCAUCACAUGGGGGUCUCCGAGUGACCUGUGGUACAUAGCCCUAGUAAUGUUCUAGCAGGGGGCCAUAUUCCCUUAAGGCUAGCGCUCAUGGCUGAAGAGGUUGAGUAGGUGGAGGCUGCUGAGGCCAGGGGCUCUGUGUGGCUUUCAACGAUGAGAACCGGAUAAGGAUCGUUCUUCUCGACGAUUGCUUGAUUUUCAGUGAACUUCAUGGCUGGCUUUUGGACCCACAUAUGCCUUUAUACCCUUGAUUUCUUGGUCAUAGGUGAGAUGACCAUGCAGAAGCUUGGCCGGAGGGAGAGGGCAAUGAUCGGUCGGAGGCAUUUGACCCAGCGGACAGGCUGAACGAGCGGGUGGAGAGGCUGCACACCUCUGUCGCGUCUAAGGACAAAAAUUUUGCCUCUCUCCAAACAAUUGAAGGAGGUCGAGAGUCGAGUCCUAGGUAGCUCAGAACUCCCUUAUUGAUGCUCGGGAAUGGGUGUUAAUUAUGGGGGCCCAGGUCUCGACUGCCAUGGAAGCUCGGGAGGUUGAUAAGUCCUGUUGGGAAGAGGAGAAGGAGAUGUUGGCGGCGUUUGCGAGCAUCUAAGCCAAUUUGAACUCUGCCCUGGGCUCAACUGGAGGAAGAGAAGACCUCUUUGUUGGGGGAAUGGAUGGCCAGGGAGAAUGCCAAGCGACGGGUAACUUAGUUGGAGGCAAAUUUCAAGUCCUUCCAUGAGAUAAUACCCACUGUUCAGGCCUGCGCAAUAGAGGACUACAAGGUUUUGAAAGACUUUGAGGAGUACGUCUCCUCCUUCCACAUAGAUGCUUAUAUAUCCAUGGGGCCUGCGAGUGUCGAGACUUUGUUCUUGUCGAGCAACCAACCUUCAAUUUUGAACCCUUCACGCAUGUCAAUUCCAACGGAGGAGAUAUCGGAGGAGGAAAAUCUUGAGAGGCGGUUCAGAAUACCAUCAGUGCCCUCGUGGAUCUAUCGAGUGGCGAGGACGAAGAGAUGGAGAUAAACGACACUUGAUCUUUUUUACUCUUAUAAAGUUGCCUAUUUUAAAAUGAAAUUUUUUUUCUUGCAA